Molecule: long non-coding RNA, 263 nt
Filed under: Sparus aurata (gilthead seabream)
Lineage: Eukaryota; Metazoa; Chordata; Actinopteri; Spariformes; Sparidae
Description: lncRNA (ENSSAUG00010007091.1)
Source: RNAcentral
UCUGCUUGGGCGUCUCGGAGGAGAGCACCUGACUGCUGAAGGACACUUUACCUGCAUGGAUCGGCUGGAUUAUUACCUGAGUGACACCUGGGAAGGCUGCUGCUGUGGAUUAUUACAGAUUAGUUCCUGAUUUAAUGAGGCUGUCACCUGAAGUAUCUUCCUGUGUUUUGGAGACCGGUGCACUGGAACACACCAUGAUGUCCUGUCUGCAAUAAGAAGCCAGUGGGAGAGUUUCAGAGUUUAGGACAUGUGCCUGAAUGCAC